RNAcentral lists this ribosomal RNA (253 nucleotides) under uncultured bacterium. Its description in RNAcentral is "partial 16S ribosomal RNA". It matches the Rfam family "Bacterial small subunit ribosomal RNA", at positions 524 to 776 of the family's 1533-position model. The record is from RNAcentral.
UACGAAGGGUGCUAGCGUUGUUCGGAAUCACUGGGCGUAAAGCGCGCGUAGGCGGCGAACCAAGUCAGGGGUGAAAUCCCGGAGCUUAACUCCGGAACUGCCUUUGAAACUGGUUUGCUAGAGUACUGGAGGGGAGUGGGGAAUUCCUAAUGUAGAGGUGAAAUUCGUAGAUAUCAAGCGGAACACCGGUGGCGAAGGCGGCCUUCUGGACAGUGACUGACGCUGAGACGCGAAAGCGUGGGGAGCAAACAGG